Paramuricea clavata is the source of this 467-nucleotide non-coding RNA. Lineage: Eukaryota; Metazoa; Cnidaria; Anthozoa; Malacalcyonacea; Plexauridae. The record is from the annotation of a GenBank genome assembly.
CUGUUACAACAUGGGUCAAACCCUUUUUUUCGAUCAAUAAAUGUUAAAUUUUGGUUUAGAAAAUUUUUUCUCAUACCAUUAUUUAUAUCAAAAAAACGUUCGAAAUUAUUUUUUUUUAAAUUUUGAAAAUUUGGGGGGCCCCCUUAAACUGGAGGCCCGGGGCAAAUUGCCCCCAGUGCACCCCCCCCCCUCUGAAAGGCCCUGAUAAUUACCAUUUCUAUAUGCAUUCUUUACAGUAUGAGUCCUGUCACUUCAGCUUGGGUAAUACACCCUUCCGGAAAGUACGUCAAUUUGGCUGUAGAACCUCGUAGAAUGUGAAAACGAGGCUCUGUAGCCAAGGUGGUGUACUUUUUGGAAGCGUGUCCGAACCAAGCACGAGAGGGCAUAUACGUUCAGUAUGAUGAAAAUUCGAAGUUGAUGAGUGGACUGGGGACGAGUGUUAAAAAGUGCCCAAAUUAAGAAAUGAA